Molecule: microRNA precursor, 128 nt
Filed under: Linum usitatissimum (flax)
Lineage: Eukaryota; Viridiplantae; Streptophyta; Magnoliopsida; Malpighiales; Linaceae
Description: miR319b stem-loop (lus-MIR319b)
Gene: lus-MIR319b
Rfam family: MIR319 microRNA precursor family (bases 22-111)
Source: miRBase by way of RNAcentral
GCUCUGUGAAGAAGAAAUGUGCAGAAAUGAGGGCUCCUUUCAGCCUAAAAACUACAGGUUUUCUCAGACAAGAUCCUGUUUCUUUUGGACUGAAGGGAGCUCCCAGUUCUUCAGUUUCUUUCAUCUGC